This 68-nucleotide transfer RNA is filed under the name human gut metagenome. It matches the Rfam family "tRNA". Rfam says of the family: Transfer RNA (tRNA) molecules are approximately 80 nucleotides in length. Their secondary structure includes four short double-helical elements and three loops (D, anti-codon, and T loops). Further hydrogen bonds mediate the characteristic L-shaped molecular structure. tRNAs have two regions of fundamental functional importance: the anti-codon, which is responsible for specific mRNA codon recognition, and the 3' end, to which the tRNAs corresponding amino acid is attached (by aminoacyl-tRNA synthetases). tRNAs cope with the degeneracy of the genetic code in two manners: having more than one tRNA (with a specific anti-codon) for a particular amino acid; and 'wobble' base-pairing, i.e. permitting non-standard base-pairing at the 3rd anti-codon position. The record is from RNAcentral.
GUCAUAGCUCAGUUGGUAGAGCACUCGAUUCGUAAUCGAGCGGUCGUAGGUCCGAUUCCUAUUGACGG